CAUACUACUCAGGAAAAAAAGAAC
This 24-nucleotide non-coding RNA is filed under the name Cricetulus griseus (Chinese hamster). Lineage: Eukaryota; Metazoa; Chordata; Mammalia; Rodentia; Cricetidae. The record is from RNAcentral.